GGGGGGGAUUCGAAUUACUAUUAUCAAUUAGAAGAAUUUAUGGUUGGCUUAGUUGGACUGCUACAUUGAAGUAUCCAGACUCCGUUAAAAAAAACCAAGUGAUUCCAAUGGGAGAAAAUCCUAGAGCUUUCCGGAUCAAGUAAUAUAUCUAUUUUAUAUCAUAAAGGAUUCCUAUUUUUAAAGAAAUCUUUUUUUGUAAGUAGAAGUUUUUUCAAACUCUGAAGGGAUAACAAAAAGAAGUGGUAAUGGGAGCAUUUGUACUAUAUGUGCAAAUCAAAAUCGGGCGGAUCUUUACCCGGAGUAGAGCAUAAACCUAAAAAGAUUAAAGAUGCCCAUUUAAGAACAAGAAAAUGACAUCGUGAUUUGGAUUGGAUCUCGAUGAAACAAUCCAUCAAUGAGAAGUAAAUUGGAUAAGUUUAAUGAAUUCUUUUUUUUUAUUA
Molecule: long non-coding RNA, 440 nt
Filed under: Helianthus annuus (common sunflower)
Lineage: Eukaryota; Viridiplantae; Streptophyta; Magnoliopsida; Asterales; Asteraceae
Description: hypothetical non coding rna
Source: RNAcentral